Podarcis lilfordi (Lilford's wall lizard) is the source of this 76-nucleotide non-coding RNA. The record is from the annotation of a GenBank genome assembly. Lineage: Eukaryota; Metazoa; Chordata; Lepidosauria; Squamata; Lacertidae.
CCUCCUGUGGUGCCAUGGGGUCAGCGCGUCUGGCUGUUAACCAGAAGGUUGGUGGUUUGAUCCCACCCGGGGAAGG